RNAcentral lists this transfer RNA (72 nucleotides) under Clostridium sp. AWRP. RNAcentral describes it as "tRNA-Thr". Lineage: Bacteria; Bacillati; Bacillota; Clostridia; Eubacteriales; Clostridiaceae. The record is from RNAcentral.
GAUAUAAUAAAAAAUGAUAAUAUGUGAUUCGUAAUCAGUAGGUCACAGGUUCGAAUCCUGCUAGGAGCACCA